This 380-nucleotide ribosomal RNA is filed under the name uncultured bacterium. Its description in RNAcentral is "bacterial SSU rRNA". It matches the Rfam family "Bacterial small subunit ribosomal RNA", at positions 28 to 408 of the family's 1533-position model. The record is from RNAcentral.
GACGAACGCUGGCGGCGUGCUUAACACAUGCAAGUCGAGCGGUAAGGCCCUUUCGGGGGUACACGAGCGGCGAACGGGUGAGUAACACGUGGGUGACCUGCCCUUAGCUCUGGGAUAAGCCUGGGAAACUGGGUCUAAUACCGGAUAUGACUCCAUAACGCAUGUUGUGGGGUGGAAAGCCUUGUGCGGCUAGGGAUGGGCCCGCGGCCUAUCAGCUUGUUGGUGGGGUGAUGGCCUACCAAGGCGACGACGGGUAGCCGGCCUGAGAGGGCGACCGGCCACACUGGGACUGAGACACGGCCCAGACUCCUACGGGAGGCAGCAGUGGGGAAGUCUUGCGCAAUGGGCGAAAGCCUGACGCAGCGACGCCGCGUGGGGGA